Molecule: ribosomal RNA, 529 nt
Filed under: uncultured bacterium
Lineage: Bacteria
Description: bacterial SSU rRNA
Rfam family: Bacterial small subunit ribosomal RNA
Source: RNAcentral
GACGAACGCUGGCGGCGUGCCUAAUACAUGCAAGUCGAACGCUUUUUCUUUGACCGAGUGCUUGCACUCACCCAAAGAAAAGGAGUGGCGGACGGGUGAGUAACACGUGGGUAACCUGCCCAGCAGAGGGGGAUAACACUUGGAAACAGGUGCUAAUACCGCAUAGGUUUUUCUUCCGCAUGGAAGAGAAAUGAAAGACGGCGCAAGCUGUCGCUGCAGGAUGGACCCGCGGCGCAUUAGCUAGUUGGUGAGGUAAAGGCUCACCAAGGCGAUGAUGCGUAGCCGACCUGAGAGGGUGAACGGCCACACUGGGACUGAGACACGGCCCAGACUCCUACGGGAGGCAGCAGUAGGGAAUCUUCCGCAAUGGACGAAAGUCUGACGGAGCAACGCCGCGUGAGUGAAGAAGGUUUUCGGAUCGUAAAACUCUGUUGUUAGAGAAGAACAGGAGAAGUAGUAACUGGCUUCUUUUUGACGGUAUCUAACCAGAAAGCCACGGCUAACUACGUGCCAGCCGCCGCCGUAACAC